CCUAUAAAUACGAACUUAACACUGGCUGUCUCUCCUUUACCUCGAAAGCAUUCUCUCUCAAUCAAAGGAUCAUCUUCAUCGUCUUAGGUAAGUCGACCGAGAAAGAGAGACCGUAAUCCAAGAUGAGAGCCAAGUGGAAGAAGAAGCGUAUGAGGAGGUUGAAGAGGAAGCGCCGAAAGAUGAGGCAGAGAUCUAAGUAGGUGCUAGAUCAUGGAUGAGCCUUCUCCUGAAGUGUCUUCUUCUUUGGACUUUUCAGCAUGGACUAUAUGGAUGAAGCUGUCAAGAAUGGAGGGGAUUCUCUUUCGGGGAAGCUUUUUCUGUUUCAUCUUCUAGUUCUAGGUUUAGCAGCCAUGAGUAUUAAGAAUUUUAGAAUGUUGUUUGAGUGUAUUGAAUAGUACUAUCUGAGUAUUUUGUCGAUUAUAUGUUUUAAGUGUUUGCCUACAGUUGUUUUACUUAAUAUGCAGUGGUUAAAUAUAUUGAAAAUCUAAUGGUUGCCUUUCUAAA
Molecule: long non-coding RNA, 504 nt
Organism: Pistacia vera
Lineage: Eukaryota; Viridiplantae; Streptophyta; Magnoliopsida; Sapindales; Anacardiaceae
Exons: 2
Source: RefSeq, a predicted model, not a curated record